This is a long non-coding RNA of Myotis lucifugus (little brown bat), 1034 nucleotides long. RefSeq lists it as uncharacterized. NCBI's taxonomy places the organism in Eukaryota, Metazoa, Chordata, Mammalia, Chiroptera, Vespertilionidae. The transcript is spliced from 3 exons. The record is from RefSeq and is a predicted model, not a curated record.
ACAGUCUCCCACCUGCACGCCGGAGAACCAGGACAGCAGGUGGUGCAUUCAGGCCGUUAGAAACCUGAGAACCAGGAGCGGCCAACGUCUCUGGGCAGGAGAGGGAAGUCUGGGCUCAGGCAGAGGCCAUUCGCCCUCCUUCUGCCUUUCUCUAUCCAGGCCCUCAGCCUGGCUGCUGCCCACCCACACUGGUGGGAGCAAGCUUCACUCAGACUAACAAUUCAAAUGCUAAUCCCUUCCGGACACAGCCUCACAGACACACUCUGAAGUGAGGUUUUCCCAGCUGUCUGGGCCUCCCUGGGCCCAGGCGGGUUGACAUGUAAAUUACCCAUCACGGUGGGGCGCGGGCGGGGAGAUUGCUCUCCCGGCUCUGAAGCCUCAGUCUCAAGGACGCGUCCCCGCCGUGCACACCGAGGCGUGCACCCGGGUGGGGAGUGCCCUCCCCUGUGCACACAGUGGGGAGUGAGGUGGCUGCACGCCAAGUGGGGAGUGGGGGAGCACGGCGGGGGAGGGGGACCGCUGCCGCAAUGCGCGCUUUCCUGGGAGCCCAGAUGGAGAGGGGGCGCCGAGCGCGCGCGCCGCGGGCUGUGCUUGCGCGCCCCCGCCUGGGGCUAUAAAAGCCUCAUCACCUGCGGCCACUGAGCUUCCAGUGGUCGGGAGAAGCCAGUUCACCCUCUCCAGCGCCAUCUCCGCUCGACAUGGACCCUGAGACCUGCCCCUGUCCUACUGGAGGGUCCUGCACCUGCGCUGGCGCCGACUCCUGCAAGUGCGAGGGAUGCAAAUGCACCUCCUGCAAGAAAAGCUGCUGCUCCUGCUGCCCGCCUGAGUGCGAAAAAUGCACCAAGGAUUGUGUGUGCAAAGGCGGAGAGGGGCCGGGGGCUGAGGCUCAGAAGUGCAGCUGCUGCGAUUGAGAUGAGGACCUGCCCCUCCAGGAAACACGUGUAAAUAGUGCUGAGUGGCCCAGUGCCACCUUCCCUGCUUGGCUGUGUGUCCCCCACUCCUGCAAGUGACAAUAAAGCCUAUGAAUGGCAUAA